RNAcentral lists this ribosomal RNA (274 nucleotides) under uncultured bacterium. RNAcentral describes it as "partial 16S ribosomal RNA". It matches the Rfam family "Bacterial small subunit ribosomal RNA", at positions 523 to 796 of the family's 1533-position model. The record is from RNAcentral.
AUACGGAGGGUGCAAGCGUUACUCGGAAUCACUGGGCGUAAAGCGCGCGCAGGCGGCUAUUUAAGUUGGAUGUGAAAGCCUACGGCUCAACCGUAGAACUGCAUCCAAAACUAUUUAGCUAGAGUGUGGGAGAGGAAGAUGGAAUUAGUUGUGUAGGGGUAAAAUCCGUAGAGAUAACUAGGAAUACCAAAAGCGAAGGCAAUCUUCUGGAACACUUCUGACGCUGAGGCGCGAAAGCGUGGGGAGCAAACAGGAUUAGAAACCCUAGUAGUCC